RNAcentral lists this transfer RNA (72 nucleotides) under Saitoella complicata NRRL Y-17804. It matches the Rfam family "tRNA". Rfam says of the family: Transfer RNA (tRNA) molecules are approximately 80 nucleotides in length. Their secondary structure includes four short double-helical elements and three loops (D, anti-codon, and T loops). The record is from Rfam by way of RNAcentral. Lineage: Eukaryota; Fungi; Ascomycota; Saitoellomycetes; Saitoellales; Saitoellaceae.
AAGAUCAUAGCUUAAUGGUUAAAGCAUGCCCUUCAUAAUGGUUGUAUAGAAGUUCAAUUCUCCUUGAUCUUA